This 496-nucleotide ribosomal RNA is filed under the name uncultured bacterium. RNAcentral's name for it is "partial 16S ribosomal RNA". It matches the Rfam family "Bacterial small subunit ribosomal RNA", at positions 28 to 506 of the family's 1533-position model. The record is from RNAcentral.
GAUGAACGCUGGCGGCGUGCCUAAUACAUGCAAGUCGAGCGAACAGACGAGGAGCUUGCUCCUCUGACGUUAGCGGCGGACGGGUGAGUAACACGUGGAUAACCUACCUAUAAGACUGGGAUAACUUCGGGAAACCGGAGCUAAUACCGGAUAAUAUAUUGAACCGCAUGGUUCAAUAGUGAAAGGCGGUUUUGCUGUCACUUAUAGAUGGAUCCGCGCCGCAUUAGCUAGUUGGUAAGGUAACGGCUUACCAAGGCGACGAUGCGUAGCCGACCUGAGAGGGUGAUCGGCCACACUGGAACUGAGACACGGUCCAGACUCCUACGGGAGGCAGCAGUAGGGAAUCUUCCGCAAUGGGCGAAAGCCUGACGGAGCAACGCCGCGUGAGUGAUGAAGGUCUUCGGAUCGUAAAACUCUGUUAUUAGGGAAGAACAAAUGUGUAAGUAACUAUGCACGUCUUGACGGUACCUAAUCAGAAAGCCACGGCUAACUACGU